RNAcentral lists this ribosomal RNA (200 nucleotides) under uncultured bacterium. RNAcentral's name for it is "partial 16S ribosomal RNA". It matches the Rfam family "Bacterial small subunit ribosomal RNA", at positions 30 to 233 of the family's 1533-position model. The record is from RNAcentral.
AUUGAACGCUGGCGGCAUGCUUUACACAUGCAAGUCGAACGGCAGCGCGGGGCAACCUGGCGGCGAGUGGCGAACGGGUGAGUAAUAUAUCGGAACGUACCCAAGAGUGGGGAUAACGUAGCGAAAGUUACGCUAAUACCGCAUACGAUCUAUGGAUGAAAGCAGGGGACCUUCGGGCCUUGUGCUCCUGGAGCGGCCGA